UUAGCCCAGGAAACCGCAGAGCCCUCUAGGGCCCCGCUAGCCUUUCAGCGUCUCUCACCCUUGGUCCCGCCCAACACGGCACCCACCGGGUCACGGGAGGACAAGCGACCCAAGCCUGGGGGGCGGUGCUGGCCUUGGUGACGUCUCAAUGUCAUAUGCAAAUAGUGCGACGUCAAGGUCUACCGGCGCGCGGCAACCAAUAGGGAGCCCGGAACGCAGCCCCAGCGGCCGGCCGUGGAGAUAGACAAAGGCCCCGACACAGGGGGCGCAGGGCGUGUCCCCGGGCUCAGGGAGCCCCGGGGCCCAAGCUGGCGGGGACUCACCUGGGACCCGGAGCGACGCGGCAGGCGGGGUGAUGCUGAGCUGAUCGUGACAUCACAAAGGGGCCCGCCCGCCGCGCGUCACUGGCCGCCGAAGAGCUCUCUCCCCGGUUCAGGGGGGAGCACCAGCAAGUGA
Long non-coding RNA from Urocitellus parryii (Arctic ground squirrel), 456 nucleotides. Lineage: Eukaryota; Metazoa; Chordata; Mammalia; Rodentia; Sciuridae. The record is from Ensembl.